Callithrix jacchus (white-tufted-ear marmoset) is the source of this 4168-nucleotide long non-coding RNA. RefSeq lists it as uncharacterized. NCBI's taxonomy places the organism in Eukaryota, Metazoa, Chordata, Mammalia, Primates, Cebidae. The record is from RefSeq and is a predicted model, not a curated record.
UCUCUUGAAUGAACAAAUUAGGUCAUCAUCAAGCAGUUUUAUUUAAUGGGAAUCUCCCGCGAGGUAUUCACAUAGUGAGAAACAGUUCUUCUCCCUUUAGAAAAGAAUGCUGAAAAGAACAGUCCCCUCCGUUUCACACAAGAGUGGAAGGGCCCAGUGAAAACUGGGAAUGUGCUAACUCCCGACAGUGGUGCUGGAGUGCGUCCUCCAAUCCAGCUGUCAGCACUGUUGGGAGCAAGGCCGAGCCUGCAACCACUACCUUUCGCACUUGCGCUAGGUCUGAGGGUUUGAAGAAGAGAUAGCAAUUCCUUCCUUGCUCCUUGCUCCGUGGUUCCAGAGCAGGUCUCUGAUUUGGAGCUUAUUAAUAGGCUUCCCUAAUAAGAUCAUCCAUAAAAUUCUGAGCCCCCAGUGCGUUUACCUGGUGUAAGUGUUCUUACCAGUAGGGGUGACAGCACAAAGGAAACUGAGGUUCUAAUAUUGACUCCCCAGGGCGAUGGGCAUCUCCUCCCAAAAACCUCCGUGGUGCAGAAGGCUGGACUCCCGGCGCUGGGAAUGACCUUGGAAACCUCUCCAGCACCUUUCUCAGCAAGCCAAGCUCUGAAACUGGGAGGGGAGGCUUUGCUGUUGAUGGUGCAUGCUGCACCAGGGGAAGGAAAUCCUGAGUUGAACUUCCUUCGGAGAGAGCGUGACCUUUCCGCCGGGUCCCACGCUCAGGACAGAUGGAGUUUCACUCUUGUUACCCAGAUUGGAGUGCAAUGGCACGACCUAGGCUCACUGCAACCUUCACCUUCUGGGUUCAAGCAAUUCUCCUGCCUCAGCCUCCCGAGUAGCUGGGAUUACAGGCACGCGCCACCAUGCCCAGCUAAGUCUUGUAUUUUUAGUAGAGACGGGGUUUCACCAUGUUGACCAGGAUGGUCUCGAUCUCUUGACCUCGUGAUCCACCCACCUCGGCCUCCCAAAGUGCUGGGAUUACAGGCUUGAGCCACCGUGCCCGGCCUUUGUUGUUGUUUAUUGUUAUAUUAGAAACUCACAGUGGUUUUUUUGUGGCAAUUGUGUUUGAUGUUUGCUAAGACUCAAAAUUACUGUAUUGUAGAAAUACAGAUAUGGAACCCUUAAGGGUUCUUUCAUUCAGUCAAUGACCAUUUAUUGUGCUUCUAUGAUGUACUGUUCUAGGCACUUUAAAAGUUCUCCUGAGUGGUACGCAAUGUACGCAAUAACACACAUAUACAUUUUAUUUACCAGAUGUAAUAGAGAAUACACUCCCAGUAAUCUUCUCUGUGCUCUUUUUCUUUUGAACUAUUAAAUAGCAUUUUUUGCUUAAUUUGUAACCAUAAAAAAAUUAGGAGAUAAACUAAAUCUCUAGAAACAGUUGGAAAGCUUAUCUUGCUCUUGAUAUAUAAUUAAUCCAUAAAUAGAACUAAGAAUUCUUAGUAUAAUUUGUUCAAUACAACAUAGAGAUCUCUCUAAAAAAAUAACUUAUUUAUCUGUUUAUUACUGUAUCUUAAAAAUAUAUUGUCAGAGAUCCUUAUUUGCCUAUAUAAUGAUUUACAUAAUCAAAUUUCCAGUAGAUUUUUGUCUAGCGGCCAAUUUUGUUCAAUCACCAUUUGUCGAAACAUCUCACUAUAGCAGGCAUCUUUGCAGGCACUAACUCAUUUAAUCCUUAGAUGAAAUCUAUGAUGGGAUAUCAGUAUCCCCAUUUCAUAGGUUAGUCUAUCUGAUCUCAUCAUUUCCCUUUUCCUACAGGCUUUUCCUUACCUAAGAUAAAGAAGGAAAGGGAAAUGAUUGUGGUACUUGUUAGAACCACAUGUUAUCUAAAUCAUGUGCCCAGAGUUGUGUCAAUCAUAGAUUUCACUUAUACAUACAAUUUCUGCCCUUCGUUUGGACUUUUCAUUGAGAUCUGGCAGGACUUCAAACACAAGAGGAUCGUUAUGUUUCCAGCAUGAACAAGAAUCUGAGAUCGAGUUGUGGCAAUACAGGUUGAGCAUUCUGAAUCUGAAAACCUGAAAUUCAAAAUCCGAAACUUUUGGGCACCAACCUGAUGCUGCACCUAGGGAAUUUCACACCUGACCCCAUGUGACAGGUUGCAAUCAAAACUUUGUUUUAUGCAUAAAAGCAUUACAAAUAUUGUAUAAAAUGACCUUCAGGCUGUAUGCAUAAAGUGUACAUGAAACAUAAAUGAAUUUUGUGUUUAGACUUGGGUCCCAUCCCCAAGAUAGCUCAUUAUAUGUAUGAAAUAUUCCAAAAUGCAAAAGAAUCUGAAACGUGGUCCCAAAUAUUUCAGAUAAGGGAUACUCAACCUGGACAUUAUUUAGUUUCUAUGUUUUCUGUAGCGAAGUAAAAUCGAAUUUAUUAAAUCAUCUUAAAAUGAUGUAGUUAAGAACAAGAAGCCAGAAGUAUAUUUUCAUCCCAAGCCGUCCCAGCUCCAUCAUGCCUCAUCCGGUGUUUCACCACGCAGCAGCAACAGCAGUGGUUUCGAAGAGCUCCAGAAGAGCAAAUUGAGCAUUUCGCAGAUGUUCCAAUAAAGCCGGACUGGCUGUGGCAUUUUUGACUUGAAUGAUUCUGCUUCGUGCAACCUCAGGAUGAGCACGUGGAGGCUGCUUUGCGUCAGAAAGUAAACAUGCGUAUGCACAAUUGCACACCACUCAGUGGUUUGUGCGGGUGGAGGAGAAUGUGCUUUUAAGGAAUAAUCUCUCCUCUUCAGCAAACCAACCGCUUUCUAUGUUUAUUGGCCAGAUUUUCUUUGGUGGUGUUUUUAUGGCUUGUUUGUCAGACAUGUUGCAUAUUAAACAAGCAAAGCCUGGAUUCUCUUAGGAUCCGAGGUCCUCUUUAUUCUCUCCUCCGUAUUGGAAAUCAUCGCUGUCAGCUCGUGCUCUCCAAGCUGCCUAGAAGAACUUUGGCAUAGUUUUCCUAACCUUUCAAACAGUAAAAGCAAAACUCUCCUUUGAUAAAAAAGCCGGAGGACUUUGGCAUGUAGCCAUAAAGGAUGCAGGCGACUCGGCUGCGAUCUGACAGAAUAAUCCACAAAACACUGAAAAGUUCUCGUUAAGGUCCCCAGAGUGGGCUGCGGCACUUUGCUUGUACUUAACAUAUAUCAACUGUCACCCGGCGGCAGUCAGUGUUGAACUGAACACAAUGGAACAUCCAGAUGGUCUAAACAAAGCGAACAAAUGUUCACUGCUAUUAAAAGCUGUUUACAUCAACUUCCAGGAUUUCAUGUAGUGAAGUUUAUAUUGUGUCACUACUGAGGUGCUUAGCUCUGUCUGCAUCAAAGACUGGCCUUUUAUAAACUCCUGUUGCUUGUAUGCCCAUGCUCUCAGCACCUAGUGGAAAGCAAAGUUGAGGAAUAAGUUAGGAAAUACAUAACAUCAACUAAUUAUGCAAUUUCAGAUGUUUUAAGUGAUUUGCCUCCAUUCUGUUAUUUUGGUCGUCUGUUGCAGCCUCAUCAGCUCCAGACCCAAUAAACACAAAGCAGACCCUCUUCUGUGAUGGGAGUGUGUCAUGGAUGGAUGGAUGGGUGGCUGCUAUCUGCCUCUGCAGACGGGGCCUCCGAGUCUCGUUGGCUCCUCGCUGGGGAUGUUUACCCAGUAAUGGUUUUGUUUUCUUCCUCUGAGAUGUGGCAGUAUCAGGUCCUGUCUUACUGGGGAUUAAUAUACAUGAAAGAUAAACCCACACUUUUUUGGUCUUCUUCCUUUGGCCUCUUUAUGGUGUCUCUUACAAAUUCCAGGCGCACUGCCUACAGUGUUCGAGAUCUGUUGUUGCCAUUAAUAACAAUACUUAUAUAAAAGGUGUCCAGCUUAUUUCUUGUUAAAGAAGAAUCUACAAAAACUGUCCCUGUUUUUUAAUCACUACCAAUUUCUCUUGGCAUAACAUAGCUAAACAAAUAAGUAAAUACUAAAAGAAUACUAUUUAUUAAUUUGCUCUACAAUUCAUAGUAUAACAAGAAUAGAAAAGACCCUCAUACGUGCAAGCUCACUAAAUAAAAUUAUUUUCUAUAUAAGCAUCAUUUUAACUCAAUUUUAUAUUUGUGUUAAAUUUUACACACAACCCCAAAAUAAUUGUACAUUAUUUGUUGUGCCAUUUUUGUUGUUACCAUGCCUUUUUGUUACCAUUGAAGACUUUUUAAAGAUGAUCUCAUAAAUGAUUAAACUCAAAUGUUUAAGAAAAUAUG